UCCUGUGCAACCGCGCGAAAAUCGUUUUAAGUAGAGUAAUCUCACGAUUCCCAGGCGAGUCUUCACAGA
Molecule: small RNA, 69 nt
Filed under: Streptococcus iniae
Lineage: Bacteria; Bacillati; Bacillota; Bacilli; Lactobacillales; Streptococcaceae
Source: RNAcentral